RNAcentral lists this ribosomal RNA (337 nucleotides) under uncultured archaeon. RNAcentral describes it as "partial 16S ribosomal RNA". It matches the Rfam family "Archaeal small subunit ribosomal RNA", at positions 133 to 475 of the family's 1478-position model. The record is from RNAcentral.
CGGGAAACUGGGGAUAAUACUCUAUAGACUAGGAAUGCUGGAAUGCUUGGAAGUCGAAAGGUCCGCCGCCGUAGGAGGGGUCGGCGGCCGAUUAGGUUGUUGUUGGGGUAACGGCCCAACAAGCCUGUAAUCGGUACGGGUUGUGGGAGCAAGAGCCCGGAGAUGGAUUCUGAGACACGAAUCCAGGCCCUACGGGGCGCAGCAGGCGCGAAAACUUUACAAGGCGGGAAACCGUGAUCAGGGAACUCCGAGUGCCCGUAAAAUCGGGCUGUCCAUCAGUUUAAAUAACUGGUGAAGAAAGGGCCGGGCAAGACCGGUGCCAGCCGCCGCGGUAACA